Molecule: long non-coding RNA, 1246 nt
Organism: Myripristis murdjan (pinecone soldierfish)
Lineage: Eukaryota; Metazoa; Chordata; Actinopteri; Holocentriformes; Holocentridae
Exons: 9
Source: RefSeq, a predicted model, not a curated record
GUGGCCCACAGGCGCACGAACACCGCUAUAGUUUGGGCGCAAGUCUCGGAGCCGCUUCGACGGUGAACGGCUCACAACGGGAUAAAGUUUGCUUUUGUUUUCCCUUUUGCUUUCCGUAAAGCCUGUUCGAGCCGGAUAAAUAGGACAAAUCUGCAGGCACGGGUGGCGGAAACAUGGAGGAGUCUAAAGUUGAACAACUGGCUAGCAAAACUGAGGAGCAUCAGCAAGAGAUAAGGUCCCUGGAAGAAGAAAUUAAAGAGCUAAGGCGCUUCAUAACUCUUUGCAGAAGGAGUUUGCAUCUAAACAACGUGAAGCUUAUGAACUGGAGAGAAUCCUCCAAGAGAAAGAAGAGACGAACAGGAUCCUGGCAGUUCCAGUGGUGACGAGUCAGAGCAGGAAUGUUUCAGGCAGUUGCAGCUGAAAACAAGAAAACUGAGGAGCGGUUGGAAAAGUACAGUGUGAAAUCCAGGAAUUCAAGCUUAAACACCGAAAGCAGCGAAUGAAGUUUGAAAACAGCCUUCAUCAGCUGAUAGAGCAGCAUAAGAAUCUGCACUCUGUCUUUACCCCGGAGAGACUUCCGCAUGAAAUCGAGAGAGUUGAAAACGCAACACGACAGCUGUUAGCAGUCGAACAAGUUAAGUUGGCUCAGCUGCACCACCUGGAUGAGGAGCUGGAACAGAUGAAGCUGAAGCAACAAGGGGCAGCAGCAGCACAGACUCAGGGCUAGAGCUACAUAAAGUUUUAGAGAAGCAGUAAUAAUCCUUCAUUCUACUCCCACCAGGACACAUUUUCACUGCAUAUGUAAGAAACAUCUUUGCCUGCCAAACCCUAUUUAUUUGCCAAGCCCUUGACUCUUUUGAAUGGUUGGUUUUGAUGUUAAUUGUUCUAUAAAGCUAGAGAUGCUGCGCUAAAAAAGGCAGUUGGUAUCCACUUUGUUUGCUGUCAUCCUUGCUCCAUUUCAUAUCAUACAAAGUCUAAGAAUUUGGAUCAGUUCACACAAAGCAGGUUACGUAUUUAACAUAUUCUUACAAGGUAAACAGCAAACAAUAAACAUUUUAUUUACUGAUACCUGGGUAUUUACUGCUUACUGAUAUUUACUGUUCUUGAUUGUUGAACUAGUCUGUUAUAGGCCAUAUAGUUAUUAUUGUGUGCGGUAUUUAUUUGCACCAUUAUUAGUUAUUUUGUAUUGAGACAAUGUAAAGGUGUUCAUAUAAGAAACUGAAUACAGUUUAUUCUCAGUGUUUUC